Humulus lupulus (European hop) is the source of this 761-nucleotide long non-coding RNA. RefSeq lists it as uncharacterized. Lineage: Eukaryota; Viridiplantae; Streptophyta; Magnoliopsida; Rosales; Cannabaceae. The record is from RefSeq and is a predicted model, not a curated record. The transcript is spliced from 3 exons.
CCCAUCACCUCACCCAUCCUCUCAAUUAGCAGCCCGCCCUACACUCAACUCUCUCUCAUUUCUUUCAUUCAAUCUCUGAAAAAUUCAGAGCACUCUCAUCUCUCUUUCUCUCUCUCUCUCUCAAUUUUUGUUUUCACUAUCUCUCUUAGUCUCUCAAGAAAAACUCCAUGAAAGGUUGAGUUCAAGCUUUGAGAAGACAAUGUUCUAGGAUUAGAUGCUCAAGGUAGCCACAAGUCUCUCGAGCUCACUUAGAAGCUUGUAUGCAACUUUGAUCACCAAGCAGGUUACCCUAGUUUUCAAAAUUUCUAUUUCUUCCCUUGUUUCCUUCUCCUCUUUGGGUUUAUGAUAUGACUUGGUGAAGUUUUGGGGGAGGUUUAAAGGUGUUGGAGGAUAGUGGUGAGGUUCUAAACCUAGGAGGGACACACAUCCAAAACAUAAAGCAACUAAGAAUGUAGCUAGUGAUGGCUGGGCCACAAUGGGAGUGUUUUACACACUCGCCUGGCAUCGACCGUAACCUUGGUGCUGGGAGACGUACCUCGCUUGGCAAGGCCGCUCGGCACGGCCAUGUAAAUUGUGUAUGUGUUUGAAAUGAGCAUGUUAUAAGCUAUGAAAUGUGUUAAUGAUUUACAUGAUUGGAAUAAAUGUAUGUAUAAUCUGCGAAGCAUGCUAAUUGUUGUUUAUUUUUACCGUGAUUAUUAUUAUUAUUUCUUGUGGGGUUUUCUUCUUGGACCAUGGCCCACGGAUGCUCUAUGGUGCAGGUA